AGCAAAAUGCGAUAAGUGGUGUGAAUUGCAGAAUCCCGUGAACCAUCGAGUCUUUGAACGCAAGUUGCGCCCGAUGCCAUCAGGCUAAGGGCACGCCUGCCUGGGCGUCGUGUGCUGCGUCUCUCAUGUCAAUGCUUUCAUGUCAUAUAGAUAGGUUUGCAUUGCGU
RNAcentral lists this ribosomal RNA (167 nucleotides) under Cypripedium shanxiense. RNAcentral describes it as "5.8S ribosomal RNA". The stretch from base 1 to 110 matches the Rfam family "5.8S ribosomal RNA", at positions 47 to 154 of the family's 154-position model. Rfam says of the family: 5.8S ribosomal RNA (5.8S rRNA) is a component of the large subunit of the eukaryotic ribosome. It is transcribed by RNA polymerase I as part of the 45S precursor that also contains 18S and 28S rRNA. Lineage: Eukaryota; Viridiplantae; Streptophyta; Magnoliopsida; Asparagales; Orchidaceae. The record is from RNAcentral.